Molecule: ribosomal RNA, 516 nt
Filed under: uncultured bacterium
Lineage: Bacteria
Description: partial 16S ribosomal RNA
Rfam family: Bacterial small subunit ribosomal RNA
Source: RNAcentral
GAUGAACGCUGGCGGCGUGCCUAAUACAUGCAAGUCGGGCGAACGAGAGGAAGGAAAGCUUGCUUUUCUGAAUCUAGUGGCGAACGGGUGAGUAACACGUAGGUAACCUGCCCAUGUGCCCGGGAUAACUUCUGGAAACGGAUGCUAAAACCGGAUAGGUAGCAGACAAGCAUUUGACUGCUAUUAAAGUGGCUAAGGCCAUGAACAUGGAUGGACCUGCGGUGCAUUAGCUAGUUGGUGAGGUAACGGCCCACCAAGGCGACGAUGCAUAGCCGGCCUGAGAGGGCGGACGGCCACAUUGGGACUGAGACACGGCCCAAACUCCUACGGGAGGCAGCAGUAGGGAAUUUUCGUCAAUGGGGGGAACCCUGAACGAGCAAUGCCGCAUGAGUGAGGAAGGUCUUCGGAUCGUAAAGUUCUGUUGUAAGAGAAAAACGACAUUCAUAGGGAAUGAUGAGUGAGUGAUGGUAUCUUACCAGAAAGUCACGGCUAACUACGUGCCAGCCGCCGCAGUAA